AGCGAACGCUGGCGGCAGGCUUAACACAUGCAAGUCGAGCGGGCGUAGCAAUACGUCAGCGGCAGACGGGUGAGUAACGCGUGGGAACGUACCUUUUGGUUCGGAACAACACAGGGAAACUUGUGCUAAUACCGGAUAAGCCCUUACGGGGAAAGAUUUAUCGCCGAAAGAUCGGCCCGCGUCUGAUUAGCUAGUUGGUGAGGUAACGGCUCACCAAGGCGACGAUCAGUAGCUGGUCUGAGAGGAUGAUCAGCCACAUUGGGACUGAGACACGGCCCAAACUCCUACGGGAGGCAGCAGUGGGGAAUAUUGGACAAUGGGGGCAACCCUGAUCCAGCUAUGCCGCGUGAGUGAUGAAGGCCCUAGGGUUGUAAAGCUCUUUUGUGCGGGAAGAUAAUGACGGUACCGCAAGAAUAAGCCCCGGCUAACUUCGUG
Molecule: ribosomal RNA, 435 nt
Filed under: uncultured bacterium
Lineage: Bacteria
Description: partial 16S ribosomal RNA
Rfam family: Bacterial small subunit ribosomal RNA
Source: RNAcentral